RNAcentral lists this long non-coding RNA (263 nucleotides) under Brassica napus (rape). Its description in RNAcentral is "long non-coding RNA (BNAP_LNC013856)". Lineage: Eukaryota; Viridiplantae; Streptophyta; Magnoliopsida; Brassicales; Brassicaceae. The record is from RNAcentral.
UUGGUCAAAGGAUAAUACUAAUACAUAUUUUUUUUUGAAAAUUAAAGGGUUAAACCCGAGUCUAUUAAAGACACAGACCUAACCCCCGGGUGGGAGGUGCAGCCCACGGAUAGACCCUCUCCCGGGUAUUCAAAUGGGCCGAAAUGCAAUAGCCCAUAUCCGUGUAGGUGACCAAAAAAAUGUGACUUAGUUUCGCAUGGUAGGUGGAUCGAACUUGAAAUGUGGUGACAUCCCAAGCCUUUCCCCUUACCACUUGACCACAA